CGAGCCGGGCGGACGGCCGCGUGGAGGCCCUUGUGGACCUCCCCGAGGAACGUCCGGGCUCCACAGGGCAGGGUGGUGGCUAACGGCCACCCGGGGUGACCCGCGGGACAGUGCCACAGAAAACAGACCGCCGGGGACCUCGGUCCCCGGUAAGGGUGAAACGGUGGUGUAAGAGACCACCAGCGCCUGAGGUGACUCAGGCGGCUAGGUAAACCCCACCCGGAGCAAGGUCAAAAGGAGACACCCCGGUGUCUCUGCGCGGACGUUCGAGGGCUGCCCGCCCGAGUCCGCGGGUAGACCGCACGAGGCCGGCGGCAACGCCGGCCCUAGAUGGAUGGCCGUCUCCCCGGCCGCCGCGAGGCAGCCGGGCGACAGAACCCGGCGUACAGCCCGACUCGUCUG
RNAcentral lists this RNase P RNA (402 nucleotides) under Streptomyces sp. NPDC026417. Its description in RNAcentral is "RNase P RNA component class A". It matches the Rfam family "Bacterial RNase P class A". From Rfam's summary of the family: Ribonuclease P (RNase P) is a ubiquitous endoribonuclease, found in archaea, bacteria and eukarya as well as chloroplasts and mitochondria. Its best characterised activity is the generation of mature 5'-ends of tRNAs by cleaving the 5'-leader elements of precursor-tRNAs. The record is from RNAcentral. Lineage: Bacteria; Bacillati; Actinomycetota; Actinomycetes; Kitasatosporales; Streptomycetaceae.